This 248-nucleotide ribosomal RNA is filed under the name uncultured Actinomycetales bacterium. RNAcentral's name for it is "partial 16S ribosomal RNA". It matches the Rfam family "Bacterial small subunit ribosomal RNA", at positions 84 to 334 of the family's 1533-position model. The record is from RNAcentral. Lineage: Bacteria; Bacillati; Actinomycetota; Actinomycetes; Actinomycetales.
GGGGUGCUCGAGUGGCGAACGGGUGAGUAACACGUGAGUAACCUGCCCUUGACUUUGGGAUAACUUCAGGAAACUGGGGCUAAUACCGGAUAGGAGCUCCUGCUGCAUGGUGGGGUUGGAAAGUUUCGGCGGUUGGGGAUGGACUCGCGGCUUAUCAGCUUGUUGGUGGGGUAGUGGCUUACCAAGGCUUUGGCGGGUAGCCGGCCUGAGAGGGUGACCGGCCACAUUGGGACUGAGAUACGGCCCAG